AAUAAACGCUGGCGGCGUGCCUAACACAUGCAAGUCGAGCGAGAAAGCUCCUUCGGGAGUUAGUAAAGCGGCGAACGGGUGAGCAACACGUCGAGAAUCUACCCUUUAGUGAAGAAUACCCUCGAGAAAUCGAGGCUAAUACUGCAUACGUCCCUUCGGGGAGAAAGAUGGCCUCUUUGCUAUCGCUAAAGGAUGAGCUUGCGUACUAUUAGCUAGUUGGCGGGGUAAAGGCCCACCAAGGCAAUGAUGGUUAACCGGCCUGAGAGGGUGUACGGUCACACUGGAACUUAGACACGGUCCAGACUCCUACGGGAGGCAGCAGUGAGGAAUCUUGCGCAAUGGGCGAAAGCCUGACGCAGCGACGCCGCGUGGAGGAUGACGGUUUUCGGAUUGUAAACUCCUGUUAAGCGGGAAGAAAGCCUUGUUUCUAAUACAAGCAAGGUAUGACGGUACCGCUAGAGAAAGCACCGGCUAACUUCGUGCCAGCAGCCGCGGUAAUGUCGUC
Molecule: ribosomal RNA, 505 nt
Filed under: uncultured bacterium
Lineage: Bacteria
Description: bacterial SSU rRNA
Rfam family: Bacterial small subunit ribosomal RNA
Source: RNAcentral